AGAGUUUGAUCCUGGCUCAGAACGAACGCUGGCGGCGUGGAUACGACAUGCAAGUCGAGCGAGAUUUUUUCCUGUAGCAAUACAGGGAAAAGUCUAGCGGCGAACGGGUGCUUAACACGUGGGCAACCUGCCGAAAAGUGGGGGAUAGCUCGCCGAAAGGCGAAUUAAUACCGCAUGUGAUCAGAGUGGACAUCCAUUCAAAAUCAAAGUCGGGGCAACCUGACGCUUUUUGAGGGGCCCGCGGCCUAUCAGCUAGUUGGUGAGGUAACGGCCCACCAAGGCUUUGACGGGUAGCUGGUCUGAGAGGACGACCAGCCACACUGGGACUGAGACACGGCCCAGACACCUACGGGUGGCAGCAGUCGAGAAUUUUUCUCAAUGGGGGAAACCCUGAAGGAGCGACGCCGCGUGGAGGAUGAAGGUCUUCGGAUUGUAAACUCCCGUCAUUGGGGAACAAUGCUUACGCGUUAACUGCGCGUGAGUUGAUAGUACCCGAAGAGGAAGAGACGGCUAACUCUGUGCCAGCAGCCGCGGUAAUACAGAGGUCUCAAGCGUUGUUCGGAUUCAUUGGGCGUAAAGGGUGCGUAGGCGGCGCGGUAAGUCGGGUGUGAAAUCUCGGAGCUUAACUCCGAAACUGCAUUCGAUACUGCCGUGCUCGAGGACUGGAGAGGAGACUGGAAUUUACGGUGUAGCGGUGAAAUGCGUAGAUAUCGUAAGGAAGACCAGUGGCGAACGCGGGUCUCUGGACAGUUCCUGACGCUGAGGCACGAAAGCCAGGGAGCAAACGGGAUUAGAUACCCCGGUAGUCC
RNAcentral lists this ribosomal RNA (809 nucleotides) under uncultured bacterium. RNAcentral's name for it is "bacterial SSU rRNA". It matches the Rfam family "Bacterial small subunit ribosomal RNA", at positions 8 to 796 of the family's 1533-position model. The record is from RNAcentral.